RNAcentral lists this ribosomal RNA (395 nucleotides) under uncultured bacterium. RNAcentral's name for it is "bacterial SSU rRNA". It matches the Rfam family "Bacterial small subunit ribosomal RNA", at positions 505 to 898 of the family's 1533-position model. The record is from RNAcentral.
GUGUCAGCAGCCGCGGUAACACGGGGGGAGCAAACGUUGUUCGGAAUCACUGGGCGUAAAGGGCGCGUAGGCGGCUUCGUAAGUGGUGUGUGAAAUGUCCUGGCUCAACCAGGGAAUUGCGCUCCAAACUGCGAGGCUUGAGGGCAGUAGAGGAAGCUGGAAUUCCAGGUGUAGCGGUGAAAUGCGUAGAUAUCUGGAGGAACACCGUUGGCGAAGGCGAGCUUCUGGGCUGUCCCUGACGCUGAAGUGCGAAAGCUGGGGGAGCAAACAGGAUUAGAUACCCUGGUAGUCCCAGCUGUAAACGGUGAACACUAGGUGUGGGAGGUGUCGACCCUUCCCGUGCCGCAGCUAACGCAUUAAGUGUUCCGCCUGGGGAGUACGGUCGCAAGGCUGAA